Molecule: long non-coding RNA, 1043 nt
Organism: Oncorhynchus tshawytscha (Chinook salmon)
Lineage: Eukaryota; Metazoa; Chordata; Actinopteri; Salmoniformes; Salmonidae
Source: Ensembl
UGAGCAUUGGAUGGUCUGUUAAACUGAGUGCCACUCAGUUCUAUAGGACUAAGAGGACUAAGAGUUCUAUAGGACUAAGAGUAUGGACUACCACGGCAUGGCUAGCUCUGUACUGACAGAAGAGUGGUGAACAAGGGGUGUUCUUAACUGCUGGAUGCGACUGUACUUCUCUGGUCAUAAGAGCUAGGACUUGUCAGACGAGGAUGCCACAAUGAUCAGUCCCCCAUGUGAAGAUGACCUCUCUGGAUGAAGAAUACUGAACAGAGGAGGAGGAGAAGAAGAAGAAGAAUACUGAACAGAGGAGAAGAAGAAGAAGAAGAAUACUGAACCGAGGAGAAGAAGAAUACUGAACAGAGGAGAAGAAGAAUACUGAACAGAGGAAGAGAAGAAGAAGAAUACUGAACAGAGGAGGAGAAGAAGAAGAAUACUGAACAGAGGAGGAGAAGAAGAAGAAUACUGAACAGAGGAGGAGAAGAAGAAGAAUACUGAACAGAGGAGGAGAAGAAGAAGAAUACUGAACAGAGGAGGAGAAGAAGAAGAAUACUGAACAGAGGAGGAGAAGAAGAAGAAUACUGAACAGAGGAGGAGAAGAAGAAGAAUACUGAACAGAGGAGGAGAAGGAGGAGAUGAAUACUGAACAGAGGAGGAGGAGGAGGAGAUGAAUACUGAACAGAGGAGGAGGAGGAGGAGAUGAAUACUGAACAGAGGAGGAGGAGGAGGAGAUGAAUACUGAACGGAGGAGGAGGAGGAGAUGAAUACUGAACGGAGGAGGAGGAGAUGAAUACUGAACAGAGGAGGAGGAGAUGAAUACUGAACAGAGGAGGAGGAGAAGGAGAUGAAUACUGAACAGAGGAGGAGGAGGAGGAGAUGAAUACUGAACAGAGGAGGAGGAGAAGAAGAAUACUGAACAGAGGAGGAGGAGAAGAAGAAUACUGAACAGAGGAGGAGGAGAAGAAGAAUACUGAACAGAGGAGGAGGAGAAGAAGAAUACUGAACAGAGGAGGAGGAGGAGGAGAUGAAUACUGAACGGAGGAGGAGGAGGA